GCACUGCUGAGGAGUCCUACACUAGGACGAAACGGCCGUCCAGUGC
Schistosoma margrebowiei is the source of this 46-nucleotide non-coding RNA. The record is from Rfam. Lineage: Eukaryota; Metazoa; Platyhelminthes; Trematoda; Strigeidida; Schistosomatidae.